This 906-nucleotide ribosomal RNA is filed under the name Avrainvillea elliottii. RNAcentral describes it as "bacterial SSU rRNA". The record is from RNAcentral. Lineage: Eukaryota; Viridiplantae; Chlorophyta; Ulvophyceae; Bryopsidales; Dichotomosiphonaceae.
GAUCUGCGUAAGACGCACUAAUGCGAAAGCAGUUGCCAAGGACGUCCUCUUAUGAUCAAGAGCGAAAGUCGGGGGAUCAAAGAUGAUUAGAUACCGUCGUAGUCCCGACCAUAAAUGAUGCCGACUGAGCGUCGGCGACUCGGCCUUCGGCCGUACGUCGGCGCUCUUGAGAGAAAUUAAAGUCUUUGGGCUCCGGGGGUAGUAUGGUCGCAAGUCUGAAACUUGAAGGAAUUGACGGAAGGGCACCACAAGGCGUGGAUGUUGCGGCUUAAUUUGACUCAACACGGGAAAGCUUACUAGGUUUGGACACUUGAAUGAGGGACAUAUUGAAGCUCUUACCUUUUUUUGUGGAUGGUGGUGCAUGGUCGUUCUCAGCCCGUGGGUUGACCUGUCAGGUUUACUCCGGUAACGCGCGAGACCUCGGUUUGCUAAAUAGACGCGGCUGUCUCGGCACCCGCGUUCUUCUUAGAGAGAGUCUCGACGAGAGUCGAGGGAAGUCGAGGCAAUAACACAUCUGUGAUGCCCUUAGUUAUCCUAGGUCGCACGCGCCAAACAGUGUAGCUUACAACGAGUUCCUAGGCCGACAGGCGUUCUCGUUCGAUCGCGGCUGCACGGGACGUCGUCGGACGAACCGCUCCACGCGAGCGGCACUCCACGGCGCCGGUCGUGCCUCUCGCCGUUCGAGAUCACMGGGCAAUCUUGCAGAGAGCUACGUGACUGGGCUAGACUCUUGUAAUUGUUGGUCUUCAACGAGGAAUGCCUAGUAAUCGCAGGUCAUUAUCCUGCGAUGAUUAGGUCCCUGCCCWUUGUACACACCGCCCGUCGCUCCAUCCGUGGCAUGCGCCGGUGAAGAGGGGGAGGCAGCGUCGUCCGAUUAACGUCRGCACGUACGUGUAACCCCUCUGA